UGGGGAAUAUUGCACAAUGGGCGCAAGCCUGAUGCAGCCAUGCCGCGUGUAUGAAGAAGGCCUUCGGGUUGUAAAGUACUUUCAGCGGGGAGGAAGGUGUUGAGGCUAAUAACCUCAGCAAUUGACGUUACCCGCAGAAGAAGCACCGGCUAACUCCGUGCCAGCAGCCGCGGUAAUACGGAGGGUGCAAGCGUUAAUCGGAAUUACUGGGCGUAAAGCGCACGCAGGCGGUCUGUCAAGUCGGAUGUGAAAUCCCCGGGCUCAACCAGGGAACUGCAUUCGAAACUGGCAGGCUAGAGUCUUGUAGAGGGGGGUAGAAUUCCAGGUGUAGCGGUGAAAUGCGUAGAGAUCUGGAGGAAUACCGGUGGCGAAGGCGGCCCCCUGGACAAAGACUGACGCUCAGGUGCGAAAGCGUGGGGAGCAAACA
RNAcentral lists this ribosomal RNA (427 nucleotides) under uncultured bacterium. Its description in RNAcentral is "partial 16S ribosomal RNA". It matches the Rfam family "Bacterial small subunit ribosomal RNA", at positions 355 to 774 of the family's 1533-position model. The record is from RNAcentral.